AGUGAACGCUGCGGUAGGCCUAACACAUGCAAGUCGCACGGCAGCACAGUAAGAGCUUGCUCUUACGGGUGGCGAGUGGCGGACGGGUGAGGAAUACAUCGGAAUCUACUUUUUCGUGGGGGAUAACGUAGGGAAACUUACGCUAAUACCGCAUACGACCUACGGGUGAAAGCAGGGGAUCUUCGGACCUUGCGCGAUUGAAUGAGCCGAUGUCGGAUUAGCUAGUUGGCGGGGUAAAGGCCCACCAAGGCGACGAUCCGUAGCUGGUCUGAGAGGAUGAUCAGCCACACUGGAACUGAGACACGGUCCAGACUCCUACGGGAGGCAGCAGUGGGGAAUAUUGGACAAUGGGCGCAAGCCUGAUCCAGCCAUACCGCGUGGGUGAAGAAGGCCUUCGGGUUGUAAAGCCCUUUUGUUGGGAAAGAAAAGCAGCAGGUUAAUACCCCGCUGUUCCGACGGUACCCAAAGAAUAAGCACCGGCUAACUUCGUG
Molecule: ribosomal RNA, 491 nt
Filed under: uncultured bacterium
Lineage: Bacteria
Description: partial 16S ribosomal RNA
Rfam family: Bacterial small subunit ribosomal RNA
Source: RNAcentral